Molecule: long non-coding RNA, 879 nt
Organism: Drosophila obscura
Lineage: Eukaryota; Metazoa; Arthropoda; Insecta; Diptera; Drosophilidae
Exons: 3
Source: RefSeq, a predicted model, not a curated record
UGCACACACUUCUGUGUGGAUUUAUUCGUUUAUUCGUCACAAGCUUGUCAUUUGCUGGUGGGAAGAAAGUUGUAUCCAGACUGCUGUGAUGUGAUGCUGUUACAAGAGUAUUUCAAAAUUUCGCUCAGCCUGGGACGAAAAUCUGCGAUAUCCAAAAUUUUAAAGAAAUGUCAUGUCUACAAGAUCUGGAUCAGAUUGGACUAUUAUUAUAGCCAGAAUGAAGAAAUUAAUUUUCAGUUGCUACGCUGAAAUGUUCGUUAACAUCAAACCAAGUGGUCGGUCGUUCAUUUACAUAUCUACGUCAAACGCGUCACUGUAACUGUGCUACUUUUCGAGGCUAUUUUCGAGGCAGUUUCUUGGUAAAGAUAUCCUAGGAACUUCAACGUGAUGUGCUGCCGGAACCGACAGACGACAAUACGGAAGCGCCAGCUUCAAGAAAACCCAUCGAUGUUUAGAUGCCUGGAGUUUAUCUUGUGCGGCCUCAAAGUGUGAGAUCCCCGUGAGGCUGGCCCUGAACUGAAGUACGAACCAGAUGCUCCAUCUCCAGAGGCUUCCAUACCCGCAAGACCGCUCUACCAUCUUUUCAAAUGUAAGUGCACCGCAACUUUCGGUGGCAGAAAAUGGAGAAUGUUGAAGUGAGGGCCCAGCUCCAGCAACGGAUAUUAAUCCAAAUGCCUCAAUUCCAAUACUGCCAAUACAAUCCAGUGUUUUAGGCACGGAGAGAAAGAGCCGAAUAACCUCCAGAAUGAAGAGCAGAAAUGCCAGCUCCAGAAUCACCUAUUUAACUGUCUGCGGCCAGGUGGGAUCCAGGAUCCCUACAACAGAGCUAGUAGAUGACAAUCAAUGUCCAAUCCAAUCCAAUCAAUCCAGCACUUCCAG